GAUGAACGCUGGCGGCGUGCCUAAUACAUGCAAGUCGAGCGAACGGACGAGAAGCUUGCUUCUCUGAUGUUAGCGGCGGACGGGUGAGUAACACGUGGAUAACCUACCUAUAAGACUGGGAUAACUUCGGGAAACCGGAGCUAAUACCGGAUGAUAUUUUGAACCGCAUGGUUCAAAAGUGAAAGACGGUCUUGCUGUCACUUAUAGAUGGAUCCGCGCUGCAUUAGCUAGUUGGUAAGGUAACGGCUUACCAAGGCAACGAUGCAUAGCCGACCUGAGAGGGUGAUCGGCCACACUGGAACUGAGACACGGUCCAGACUCCUGCGGGAGGCAGCAGUAGGGAAUCUUCCGCAAUGGGCGAAAGCCUGACGGAGCAACGCCGCGUGAGUGAUGAAAGUCUUCGGAUCGUAAAACUCUGUUAUUAGGGAAGAACAUAUGUGUAAGUAACUGUGCACAUCUUGACGGUACCUAAUCAGAAAGCCACGGCUAACUACGUG
This 497-nucleotide ribosomal RNA is filed under the name uncultured bacterium. RNAcentral's name for it is "partial 16S ribosomal RNA". It matches the Rfam family "Bacterial small subunit ribosomal RNA", at positions 28 to 507 of the family's 1533-position model. The record is from RNAcentral.